Non-coding RNA from Marmota flaviventris (yellow-bellied marmot), 72 nucleotides. The record is from the annotation of a RefSeq genome assembly. Lineage: Eukaryota; Metazoa; Chordata; Mammalia; Rodentia; Sciuridae.
UGGGUUGUAGCUCAGUGGUAGAGUGCAUGCCUUGAAUGCAUGAGGCCCUGGGUUCGGUCCCCAGCACCACAU